ACGGUGAGAGCGUACACAGGUGCUGCAUGGCUGUCGUCAGCUCGUGUCGUGAGAUGUUGGGUUAAGUCCCGCAACGAGCGCAACCCUGCAUUCAGUUGCCAUCGGUAAGGCCGGGCACUCUGGAUGGACUGCCGGCGACAAGCCGGAGGAAGUGGGGACGACGUCAAGUCAUCAUGGCCCUUAUGUCCAGGGCGACACACGUGCUACAAUGGCCGGCACAACGGGAAGCGAAGGGGCGACCCUGAGCGGAUCCCACAAAAGCCGGUCUCAGUUCGGAUUGCAGUCUGCAACUCGACUGCAUGAAGUUGGAAUCGCUAGUAAUCGUGGAUCAGCCAAGCCGCGGUGAAUACGUUCCCGGGCCUU
Molecule: ribosomal RNA, 363 nt
Filed under: uncultured Thermovirga sp.
Lineage: Bacteria; Thermotogati; Synergistota; Synergistia; Synergistales; Thermovirgaceae
Description: bacterial SSU rRNA
Rfam family: Bacterial small subunit ribosomal RNA
Source: RNAcentral